This 501-nucleotide ribosomal RNA is filed under the name uncultured bacterium. RNAcentral describes it as "bacterial SSU rRNA". It matches the Rfam family "Bacterial small subunit ribosomal RNA", at positions 15 to 507 of the family's 1533-position model. The record is from RNAcentral.
GAUCAUGGCUCAGGAUGAACGCUAGCGGCAGGCUUAACACAUGCAAGUCGAGGGGCAGCAUAAACAUUGCUUGCAAUGUUGGUGGCGACCGGCGCACGGGUGCGUAACGCGUAUGCAACCUACCUAUAACAGGGGGAUAACACUGAGAAAUUGGUACUAAUACCCCGUAAUAUUAUUGAAGGCAUCUUUGAUAGUUGAAAGUUCCGGCGGUUAUAGAUGGGCAUGCGUACGAUUAGCUUGUUGGCGGGGUAACGGCCCACCAAGGCGACGAUCGUUAGGGGUUCUGAGAGGAAGGUCCCCCACACUGGAACUGAGACACGGUCCAGACUCCUACGGGAGGCAGCAGUGAGGAAUAUUGGUCAAUGGUCGGAAGACUGAACCAGCCAAGUAGCGUGAAGGAUGACUGCCCUACGGGUUGUAAACUUCUUUUGUUUGGGAAUAAAAGACGCUACGUGUAGCGUUCUGCAUGUACCUUACGAAUAAGCAUCGGCUAAUUCCGUG